This 329-nucleotide unclassified non-coding RNA is filed under the name soil metagenome. Its description in RNAcentral is "partial contains 5.8S ribosomal RNA, internal transcribed spacer 2, and large subunit ribosomal RNA". The stretch from base 1 to 120 matches the Rfam family "5.8S ribosomal RNA", at positions 35 to 154 of the family's 154-position model. The record is from RNAcentral.
GAUGAAGAACGUAGCGAAAUGCGAUAAGUAAUGUGAAUUGCAGAAUUCAGUGAAUCAUCGAAUCUUUGAACGCACAUUGCGCCCCCUGGUAUUCCGGGGGGCAUGCCUGUUCGAGCGUCAUUAUAACCACUCAAGCUCUCGCUUGGUAUUGGGGUUCGCGGUUUCGCGGCCCCUAAAAUCAGUGGCGGUGCCUGUCGGCUCUACGCGUAGUAAUACUUCUCGCGAUUGAGUUCGAUAGGUCUACUUGCCAGUAACCCCCAAUUUUUACAGGUUGACCUCGGAUCAGGUAGGGAUACCCGCUGAACUUAAGCAUAUCAAUAAGCGGAGGA